GUGACCUGCGGAAGGAUCAUUACCGAAUUGUCAACAAGAGUUGUUGCUGGUCCUCAAGCGGGGGCAUGUGCACGCUCUGUUAACACAUCCACUCACACCCUGUGCACCYUCUGUAGUUCUGUGGUUGGGGGACCCAUCCUCCUGCUGUGGUUCUGCAUCUUUACACACACACACUGUAACAAAGUCUCAUGGAAUGCAUCUGCGUUUAACGCAAUACAAUACAACUUUCAGCAACGGAUCUCUUGGCUCUCGCAUCGAUGAAGAACGCAGCGAAAUGCGAUAAGUAAUGUGAAUUCAGUGAAUCAUCGAAUCUUUGAACGCACCUUGCGCCCUUUGGCCAUUCCGAAGGGCAUGCCUGUUUGAGUAUCAUGAACACCUCAACUCUUCAUGGUUUUCCGUGAUGAGCUUGGACUUUGGGGGUUUUGCUGGCCUAYGGUCGGCUCCUCUAAAAUGAAUCAGCUUGCCAGUGUUUGGUGGGCAUCACAGGUGUGAUAACUAUCUACGCUUGUGGUUUUCCCACCAGGUAACCUUCAGCAGUGGAGGUUCGCUGGAGCUCACAGAUGUCUCUCCUCAGUGAGGACAGCCC
This 586-nucleotide ribosomal RNA is filed under the name uncultured Tomentella. RNAcentral describes it as "eukaryotic LSU rRNA". The stretch from base 223 to 369 matches the Rfam family "5.8S ribosomal RNA". The record is from RNAcentral. Lineage: Eukaryota; Fungi; Basidiomycota; Agaricomycetes; Thelephorales; Thelephoraceae.